CAUACAGAGUUAAUCCAAUACCACCCAUAACCCUCCUUAUAUAUUGAGCCAAGUUGGCAAGCAUGUCAUCCACUUUUCCCAAGCUAAUUGCUUUGAGAUUGGGGGUGCCUCAUGUUGGUCUAAAUGUUCCUACCACCUACAGAUGGGCCAUCAACCCCUACCCUCUUUUAAAGCAAACUUAGAUAGUUUUUAAGGAUCCUAAUCACACCAAAACCACCCAAUUAACCACUUAUAUGCUUCCUACCAAACCUAAGGUUUUGCACAACUUAUUACUUUUAAGAUUACAUUUAGGAUUGGCCAUAAGACAAACCUCACCUACUUUCAUAUGUUUCUCAUUACUUGCCUUUUAGAG
RNAcentral lists this unclassified non-coding RNA (352 nucleotides) under Hevea brasiliensis (rubber tree). The record is from RNAcentral. Lineage: Eukaryota; Viridiplantae; Streptophyta; Magnoliopsida; Malpighiales; Euphorbiaceae.